AAUCAGGGCAGCAAAUAAAAAUGAUUGCGAUAAAUUUGAAGUUUAUAGAUGAAGGCUUAUUUUCCUGAUUG
This 71-nucleotide transfer RNA is filed under the name Gigantidas childressi. RNAcentral's name for it is "tRNA-Ser". The record is from RNAcentral. Lineage: Eukaryota; Metazoa; Mollusca; Bivalvia; Mytilida; Modiolidae.